CCUACGGGAGGCAGCAGUGGGGAAUAUUGCACAAUGGGGGAAACCCUGAUGCAGCGACGCCGCGUGAGUGAAGAAGUAUUUCGGUACGUAAAGCUCUAUCAGCAGGGAAGAAAAUGACGGUACCUGACUAAGAAGCCCCGGCUAACUACGUGCCAGCAGCCGCGGUAAUACGUAGGGGGCAAGCGUUAUCCGGAUUUACUGGGUGUAAAGGGAGCGUAGACGGUGGCGCAAGUCUGGAGUGAAAUGCCAUGGCUUAACCAUGGAACUGCUUUGGAAACUGUGCAGCUAGAGUGCAGGAGAGGUAAGCGGAAUUCCUAGUGUAGCGGUGAAAUGCGUAGAUAUUAGGAGGAACACCAGUGGCGAAGGCGGCUUACUGGACUGUAACUGACGUUGAGGCUCGAAAGCGUGGGGAGCAAACAGGAUUAGAUACCCCUGUAGUC
This 440-nucleotide ribosomal RNA is filed under the name uncultured bacterium. RNAcentral describes it as "partial 16S ribosomal RNA". It matches the Rfam family "Bacterial small subunit ribosomal RNA", at positions 338 to 795 of the family's 1533-position model. The record is from RNAcentral.